Molecule: ribosomal RNA, 509 nt
Filed under: uncultured bacterium
Lineage: Bacteria
Description: partial 16S ribosomal RNA
Rfam family: Bacterial small subunit ribosomal RNA (bases 20-328)
Source: RNAcentral
GACGAACGCUGGCGGCGUGCUUAACACAUGCAAGUCGAACGGAAAGGCCCUGCUUUUGUGGGGUGCUCGAGUGGCGAACGGGUGAGUAACACGUGAGUAGCCUGCCCUUGACUUUGGGAUAACUUCAGGAAACUGGGGCUAAUACCGGAUAGGAGCUCCUGCUGCAUGGUGGGGGUUGGAAAGUUUCGGCGGUUGGGGAUGGACUCGCGGCUUAUCAGCUUGUUGGUGGGGUAGUGGCUUACCAAGGCUUUGACGGGUAGCCGGCCUGAGAGGGUGACCGGACAGGGGGGGGAGGGGCGCCGGCGCAGGGCGGGAGGGGGGGAGGGGGGGGGGAAGAGGGCAGGCGGGGGGGGAUCCAGAUGCGGAAGCGCCGGGGGCGGGCGGGGGGCUGUGGGUGGGUAACCCACUGGGCACUGCGACGAGGAGGGAGGGAGGGUGAGGGGAAAAGAAGCAGCGGCGAACGACGUGAGAGCAGCCGAGGUAAUAAGGGGAAUAGCACACGUAUGAUC